This 981-nucleotide long non-coding RNA is filed under the name Panax ginseng (ginseng). Its description in RNAcentral is "long non-coding RNA (PGIN_LNC017723)". The record is from RNAcentral. Lineage: Eukaryota; Viridiplantae; Streptophyta; Magnoliopsida; Apiales; Araliaceae.
ACUACUAACCGAAUUUCACAAUAAUCGAAUUACCGAAUAAUAAAUUCGGGUAUUUUGGUUAAUAACCGAAUCUGUACUCCAUAUUAUCAUUUAUCAAUAAAAAAAAAAGAACCAUUUAAAAUUGACAAUACUAAAAACAAAAGAAUUCAAAUUACACCCCACAUGUUUAUCCAAUCAUACAACUUGAGAUCAUGAAUAUUGGGAUUGGAGAGAGUGAAGAAAAGUCGAUUAAAAUUAAACAUACUAAUCCAUAAUUAAAGACGGUAAAAGCUUCACGAAGGAAGACCUCGUUAACUACUUGUUUAAUUUAAUCCAUGGAAUACAUGAUCUCUAACAGCGUGAAACUGCACAAACUAUAAGCAUUACUGUUUGAAUCAUGACUAAGUUCUGAGUUGGGAUAGUUGGAAGACUGAUGAAUCCGGAUCGGAGGGUUGAGACGAACGAGGGACCCCAAACCCGAAACCCAUUUGAACACCCCAGGAAGGUGGACUCAUACUCAUCCUCCUAACUUUUCUAAAAUGCAGACUCCUCAUCGACCCAACGAGUUCACUCACGGAGUUAAACCCCAGCGACCCACACAACGACAUUGGUGGAGACUCAGUCGUCGACGGUUACGAUGACAGAGAGGAGUCGCGAUUUAGGGACAUGUUUUGGCUUUGGGUUAUGGCUUAGUCACUUAGGAGUUAGCGUAGAGGCAGGCCACCAAAGAGAGAAAGAUUUGAGGGCCAAGGGACAGAGAUCAGAGAGACUGAGAGAUUGAUCGAUGAGAUCUGAGAGACUGAGAAAUCGAUCGAUUUAGGUUUUGACUUUUGAGUAGUGAGAGAUAUCAGAUAGAGAGAGAGUUCGAUUUGGAUUUUGAGUAGUGAGAGAGUCGACAAUCGAGACUCUUCAGUUAUGCUUUUGGUUACGCUUUGAAUUUUUAAACCUUAAUUUCUUUAUUUUUAAUUCAGAUAUUCGGUUAACUGAAUAACUUAAAUUUAA